AAACAGAUCAAAUGGGACAUUGUCGGC
This 27-nucleotide small RNA is filed under the name Bombyx mori (domestic silkworm). Its description in RNAcentral is "ovarian small RNA-2428". The record is from RNAcentral. Lineage: Eukaryota; Metazoa; Arthropoda; Insecta; Lepidoptera; Bombycidae.